Long non-coding RNA from Scomber scombrus (Atlantic mackerel), 263 nucleotides. RefSeq lists it as uncharacterized. The record is from RefSeq and is a predicted model, not a curated record. The transcript is spliced from 3 exons. NCBI's taxonomy places the organism in Eukaryota, Metazoa, Chordata, Actinopteri, Scombriformes, Scombridae.
CGGACUGAUUGUUUAGCGAGAAGAAUUGACAAUUUUUUUUAAUUUUGGAAAAAACAGCGUUUAUACUGACUCGUAGAAGAAUUACCGGACUGUGUCGACCGAGGGAAGAAAUCAUACCUCGGGAAAAAUCCAGUGAAAGAAGGCAUGAAGACAUCAUCCUAGUCGUCAGUCAUGGCCGAUAAAAGGAAACUUCAAGGUGAAAUAGAUCGAUGUCUGAAAAAAGUAGCGGAAGGAGUAGAACAGUUUGAAGACAUUUUGGCAAA